UGGGGAAUUUUGCACAAUGGGCGGAAGCCUGAUGCAGCGACGCCGCGUGGAGGAUGAAGGCCUUCGGGUUGUAAACUCCUUUUGUAGGGGACGAUGGUGACGGUACUCUACGAAUAAGCCACGGCUAACUCUGUGCCAGCAGCCGCGGUAAGACAGAGGUGGCGAGCGUUGUUCGGAAUUACUGGGCGUAAAGCGCGUGUAGGCGGCCUUGCAAGCCAGACGUGAAAGCCCUCGGCUUAACCGGGGAAGUGCGUCUGGAACUGCUCGGCUCGAGUACGGGAGAGGGAGGCGGAAUUCCAGGUGUAGUAGUGAAAUACGUAGAUAUCUGGAAGAACACCAGUUGCGAAGGCGGUCUCUUGGUCCGUAACUGACACUUAGGCGCGAAAGCGUGGGGAGCAAACAGGAUUAGAUACCCUGGUAGUCCACGCUGUAAACGAUGAAUACUUGGUGUUGGUCCCAUUGGGAUCAGUGCCGAAGCUAACGCAUUAAGUAUUCCACCUGGGGAGUACGAUCGCAAGGUUG
Molecule: ribosomal RNA, 522 nt
Filed under: uncultured bacterium
Lineage: Bacteria
Description: bacterial SSU rRNA
Rfam family: Bacterial small subunit ribosomal RNA
Source: RNAcentral